AACACCGGUUGAUCCUGCCGGAGGCCACUGCUAUUGGAGUUCGAUUAAGCCAUGCGAGUUCAGGGGGGCUUUGCCCACCGGCGGACGGCUCAGUAACACGUGGACAACCUGCCCUCGGGAGGGGGAUAACCCCUGGAAACUGGGACUAAACCCCCAUAGGUCACAGAUGCUGGAAGGCACUGUGGCUCAAAUUCCUUCGGGAGCCCGAGGAUGGGUCUGCGGCCUAUCAGGUUGUAGUUAGGGUAACGGCCUAACUAGCCUACGACGGGUACGGGGUGUGAGAGCACUAGCCCGGAGAUGGACUCUGAGACACGAGUCCAGGCCCUACGGGGCGCAGCAGGCGCGAAAACU
Molecule: ribosomal RNA, 351 nt
Filed under: Thermoplasmatales archaeon
Lineage: Archaea; Methanobacteriati; Thermoplasmatota; Thermoplasmata; Thermoplasmatales
Description: bacterial SSU rRNA
Rfam family: Archaeal small subunit ribosomal RNA
Source: RNAcentral